This is a non-coding RNA of Acanthosepion pharaonis, 112 nucleotides long. Lineage: Eukaryota; Metazoa; Mollusca; Cephalopoda; Sepiida; Sepiidae. The record is from the annotation of a GenBank genome assembly.
AUGGCCACAUCACAUUAAAACACUAGUUCCUGUAUGAUCACUGAAGUUAAGCAAUGUUAAGUCUGAUCAGUACCUAGAUGGUUAACUGCUUGGGAAUACCAGGUGCUGUAAG